This 410-nucleotide ribosomal RNA is filed under the name uncultured bacterium. RNAcentral describes it as "bacterial SSU rRNA". It matches the Rfam family "Bacterial small subunit ribosomal RNA", at positions 971 to 1383 of the family's 1533-position model. The record is from RNAcentral.
UUACCAGGGCUUGACAUCCCUGCUAACGAGGUAGAGAUACGUCAGUGCCCUUCGGGGACAGCAGAGACAGGUGGUGCAUGGUUGUCGUCAGCUCGUGUCGUGAGAUGUUGGGUUAAGUCCCGCAACGAAGCGCAACCCCUAUUGUUAGUUGCUACGCAAGAGCACUCUAGCGAGACUGCCGUUGACAAAACGGAGNAAGGUGGGGACGACGUCAAAUCAUCAUGCCCCUUAUGUCCUGGGCUACACACGUAAUACAAUGGCGGUCAACAGAGGGAAGCAAANCCGUGAGGUGGAGCGAACCCCUAAAAGCCGUCUCAGUUCGGAUCGCAGGCUGCAACUCGCCUGCGUGAAGUCGGAAUCGCUAGUAAUCGCGGAUCAGCAUGCCGCGGUGAAUACGUUCCCGGGCCUUG